RNAcentral lists this non-coding RNA (28 nucleotides) under Rattus norvegicus (Norway rat). Lineage: Eukaryota; Metazoa; Chordata; Mammalia; Rodentia; Muridae. The record is from RNAcentral.
UGAGAUAAAGUGAAUUAAAAGUGAGCCU